GUGCACCAGGCGAGAAAAACUUCACACUGUGCGAAAGCACGAUGAGGGAAUCCCAAGUGCUUGCACGUAAGUGUAAGCUGUUUCUCUGUUUAAAACGCAGAGAGAGUAAGGGCUGGGUAAGACGGGUGCCAGCCGCCGCGGUAAUACCUGCAGCUCAAGUGGUGACCGUUAUUAUUGGGCCUAAAAACGUCCGUAGCCGGUUUAAUAAAUGCCUGGGUAAAUCGUGUAGCUUAACUAUACGAAUUCCGGGUAGACUGUUAAACUCGAGACCGGGAGAAGUUAGAGGUACUCCUGGGGUAGAGGUGAAAUUCUGUAAUCCUAGGGGACCACCAGUGGCGAAGGCGCCUAACUAGAACGGGUCUGACGGUGAGGGACGAAGCCCUGGGGCGCGAAACGGGAUUAGAUACCCCUGUAGUCCCUGAA
This 423-nucleotide ribosomal RNA is filed under the name uncultured microorganism. RNAcentral's name for it is "bacterial SSU rRNA". It matches the Rfam family "Archaeal small subunit ribosomal RNA", at positions 330 to 752 of the family's 1478-position model. The record is from RNAcentral.